RNAcentral lists this ribosomal RNA (1336 nucleotides) under Salmonella enterica subsp. enterica serovar Enteritidis. Its description in RNAcentral is "partial 23S ribosomal RNA". It matches the Rfam family "Bacterial large subunit ribosomal RNA", at positions 711 to 2028 of the family's 2925-position model. The record is from RNAcentral. Lineage: Bacteria; Pseudomonadati; Pseudomonadota; Gammaproteobacteria; Enterobacterales; Enterobacteriaceae.
AGACCCGAAACCCGGUGAUCUAGCCAUGGGCAGGUUGAAGGUUGGGUAACACUAACUGGAGGACCGAACCGACUAAUGUUGAAAAAUUAGCGGAUGACCUGUGGCUGGGGGUGAAAGGCCAAUCAAACCGGGAGAUAGCUGGUUCUCCCCGAAAGCUAUUUAGGUAGCGCCUCGUGAAUUCAUCUCCGGGGGUAGAGCACUGUUUCGGCUAGGGGGCCAUCCCGGCUUACCAACCCGAUGCAAACUGCGAAUACCGGAGAAUGUUAUCACGGGAGACACACGGCGGGUGCUAACGUCCGUCGUGAAGAGGGAAACAACCCAGACCGCCAGCUAAGGUCCCAAAGUCAUGGUUAAGUGGGAAACGAUGUGGGAAGGCCCAGACAGCCAGGAUGUUGGCUUAGAAGCAGCCAUCAUUUAAAGAAAGCGUAAUAGCUCACUGGUCGAGUCGGCCUGCGCGGAAGAUGUAACGGGGCUAAACCAUGCACCGAAGCUGCGGCAGCGACACUGUGUGUUGUUGGGUAGGGGAGCGUUCUGUAAGCCUGUGAAGGUGUGUCGUGAGGCAUGCUGGAGGUAUCAGAAGUGCGAAUGCUGACAUAAGUAACGAUAAAGCGGGUGAAAAGCCCGCUCGCCGGAAGACCAAGGGUUCCUGUCCAACGUUAAUCGGGGCAGGGUGAGUCGACCCCUAAGGCGAGGCCGAAAGGCGUAGUCGAUGGGAAACGGGUUAAUAUUCCCGUACUUGGUGUUACUGCGAAGGGGGGACGGAGAAGGCUAUGUUGGCCGGGCGACGGUUGUCCCGGUUUAAGCGUGUAGGUGUGUGUUCCAGGUAAAUCCGGUUCACUUUAACACUGAGGCGUGACGACGAGGCACUACGGUGCUGAAGCAACAAAUGCCCUGCUUCCAGGAAAAGCCUCUAAGCAUCAGGUAACAUCAAAUCGUACCCCAAACCGACACAGGUGGUCAGGUAGAGAAUACCAAGGCGCUUGAGAGAACUCGGGUGAAGGAACUAGGCAAAAUGGUGCCGUAACUUCGGGAGAAGGCACGCUGACACGUAGGUGAAGUGAUUUACUCAUGGAGCUGAAGUCAGUCGAAGAUACCAGCUGGCUGCAACUGUUUAUUAAAAACACAGCACUGUGCAAACACGAAAGUGGACGUAUACGGUGUGACGCCUGCCCGGUGCCGGAAGGUUAAUUGAUGGGGUCAGCGCAAGCGAAGCUCCUGAUCGAAGCCCCGGUAAACGGCGGCCGUAACUAUAACGGUCCUAAGGUAGCGAAAUUCCUUGUCGGGUAAGUUCCGACCUGCACGAAUGGCGUAAUGAUGGCCAGGCUGUCUCCACCCG